This is a non-coding RNA of Epichloe festucae Fl1, 98 nucleotides long. The record is from the annotation of a GenBank genome assembly. Lineage: Eukaryota; Fungi; Ascomycota; Sordariomycetes; Hypocreales; Clavicipitaceae.
GACACUUUGGCCGAGUGGUUAAGGCGAUGCCCUGCUAUCUGAUAUGCGGUGAAAAGGCAUUACAUUCGUGUGCGUAGGUUCGAAUCCUGCAGGUGUCG